UCCCUGGUAGUAUAUCGGUUAGUACACGCGCCUGUCAUCUAGUACGGUGCGCGCGAAAGCGGGGUUCGACUCCCCGCCAGGGAG
Non-coding RNA from Fomitopsis serialis, 84 nucleotides. Lineage: Eukaryota; Fungi; Basidiomycota; Agaricomycetes; Polyporales; Fomitopsidaceae. The record is from the annotation of a RefSeq genome assembly.